GCUUAUGGUUUAAUGAAAUCGUGUUUGGAAAUGAGAUGAUUAUUUCUUUUAAAGUAAGAAUUAAUUUUCAAAACUACUAUCCACUCACUGAUCUCACUAAGUUUUAAACUCACCCCGUUUUUAUUAUAUUUUCCCCCCCUCACCAGGAGGUUGCAGGUACACCAGACCGACCCAGCGACUGUAAAUAUAUUUUGAGUCUUGGCCACGUGAUGGUGUCAGAAGAUAUAAAUGUUUUUGUUAG
Molecule: long non-coding RNA, 241 nt
Filed under: Citrus sinensis (sweet orange)
Lineage: Eukaryota; Viridiplantae; Streptophyta; Magnoliopsida; Sapindales; Rutaceae
Description: long non-coding RNA (CSIN_LNC004928)
Source: RNAcentral